Molecule: ribosomal RNA, 755 nt
Filed under: Entrophospora etunicata
Lineage: Eukaryota; Fungi; Glomeromycota; Glomeromycetes; Entrophosporales; Entrophosporaceae
Description: SSU rRNA
Rfam family: Eukaryotic small subunit ribosomal RNA
Source: RNAcentral
CCUACCAUGGUGGUAACGGGUAACGGGGAAUUAGGGUUCGAUUCCGGAGAGGGAGCCUGAGAAACGGCUACCACAUCCAAGGAAGGCAGCAGGCGCGCAAAUUACCCAAUCCCGACACGGGGAGGUAGUGACAAUAAAUAACAAUACGGGGCUCUUUCGGGUCUCGUAAUUGGAAUGAGUACAAUUUAAAUCCCUUAACGAGGAACAAUUGGAGGGCAAGUCUGGUGCCAGCAGCCGCGGUAAUUCCAGCUCCAAUAGCGUAUAUUAAAGUUGUUGCAGUUAAAAAGCUCGUAGUUGAAUUUCGGGAUUGACACAUCGGUCGUGCCUUAAGGGGUAUGAACUGGUGUAGUCAAUUUCUCACCUUCUGGAGAACCGCGAUGCCCUUAAUUGGGUGUCACGGGGAACCAGGACCUUUACUUUGAAAAAAUUAGAGUGUUUAAAGCAGGCAUUUUGCUUGAAUACAUUAGCAUGGAAUAAUAAAAUAGGACGGCAUGAUUCUAUUUUGUUGGUUUCUAGGAUCACCGUAAUGAUUAAUAGGGAUAGUUGGGGGCAUUAGUAUUCAAUUGUCAGAGGUGAAAUUCUUGGAUUUAUUGAAGACUAACUACUGCGAAAGCAUUUGCCAAGGAUGUUUUCAUUAAUCAAGAACGAAAGUUAGGGGAUCGAAGACGAUCAGAUACCGUCGUAGUCUUAACCAUAAACUAUGCCGACUAGGAAUCAGACGAUGUUAAUUUUUUAAUGACUCGUUUGGCACCUUA